AAAAUUCUAGAGUCCAAACUUUUACUUUUCCCUUUUUGCUUGCUAGACAGUUGCUUUCACAUAAUUAGCUGUUCUACAGCGUGUCUUAUAGCCCAACGCACCAGCCAAGAUGCAAGAUGACAGACAGAGUCUAGGGGCUUGGCUUAUUUUCAAGGUGUUACAUGUACUCAUGCGAAAAAAAUACAGAACUACAAAAAUGACAGCAAUUAAUAUAACAUAUACAAACAUUAAUUUAUCUAUUUAUUUGGAGAUACAUGUGCCCGAAAAAGACAAUUAGACCUUAACAAACGUGUCGAAAGUCAUCAUCAUUUGUGUAAGAACGUUCUCUAAAUCAAAAUUAGAAAAAUGCGAAGACCCAAGAUAACCUCAAAAAAAUCUAAUACCAGAAAAAACCCUUGGGAUUAUAUAUGUCUCGAUCAAAUAACUCAACGCCAGAUUAAUGUCAAUCAGAUAACACCAAUAUCUAUAUCAAAACUCAACUAGUUCUUUCUUGAUUUACCAAAAACUGUUUAGUUAUUGUUUCUGUUGCAUCCAAUUGAUUCUCUACUUUACUGAGCACAGGCAGGGAAUACAGAUGCAUAUUACAAACUAAUAUCAUAGAAAAGGUAAUUGCAAAUGACAUGACAACAUGGAAA
RNAcentral lists this long non-coding RNA (635 nucleotides) under Carica papaya (papaya). RNAcentral describes it as "long non-coding RNA (CPAP_LNC012298)". Lineage: Eukaryota; Viridiplantae; Streptophyta; Magnoliopsida; Brassicales; Caricaceae. The record is from RNAcentral.